This 320-nucleotide ribosomal RNA is filed under the name uncultured Acidobacteriota bacterium. RNAcentral's name for it is "bacterial SSU rRNA". It matches the Rfam family "Bacterial small subunit ribosomal RNA", at positions 21 to 354 of the family's 1533-position model. Lineage: Bacteria; Pseudomonadati; Acidobacteriota. The record is from RNAcentral.
GGCUCAGAACGAACGCUGGCGGCGUGCCUAACACAUGCAAGUCGAGCGAGAAAGGGUAGCAAUACCUGAGUAAAGCGGCGCACGGGUGAGUAACACGUGACUAACCUACCUCCGAGUGGGGAAUAACCUGGGGAAACCCGGGCUAAUACCGCAUAACACCUACGGGUCAAAGGAGCAAUUCGCUUGGAGAGGGGGUCGCGGCAGAUUAGCUAGUUGGCGGGGUAAUGGCCCACCAAGGCGAUGAUCUGUAUCCGGCCUGAGAGGGCGCACGGACACACUGGAACUGAAACACGGUCCAGAGAUCCUACGGGAGGCAGCAG